CCGUGUACGUACAAGCAGUGGGAGCACCCUUUGGGGUGUGACUGCGUACCUUUUGUAUAAUGGGUCAGCGACUUAUAUUCUGUAGCAAGGUUAACCGAAUAGGGGAGCCGGAGGGAAACCGAGUCUUAAUUGGGCGUUAAGUUGCAGGGUAUAGACCCGAAACCCGGUGAUCUAGCCAUGGGCAGGUUGAAGGUUGGGUAACACUAACUGGAGGACCGAACCGACUAAUGUUGAAAAAUUAGCGGAUGACCUGUGGCUGGGGGUGAAAGGCCAAUCAAACCGGGAGAUAGCUGGUUCUCCCCGAAAGCUAUUUAGGUAGCGCCUCGUGAAUUCAUCUCCGGGGGUAGAGCACUGUUUCGGCUAGGGGGCCAUCCCGGCUUACCAACCCGAUGCAAACUGCGAAUACCGGAGAAUGUUAUCACGGGAGACACACGGCGGGUGCUAACGUCCGUCGUGAAGAGGGAAACAACCCAGACCGCCAGCUAAGGUCCCAAAGUCAUGGUUAAGUGGGAAACGAUGUGGGAAGGCCCAGACAGCCAGGAUGUUGGCUUAGAAGCAGCCAUCAUUUAAAGAAAGCGUAAUAGCUCACUGGUCGAGUCGGCCUGCGCGGAAGAUGUAACGGGGCUAAACCAUGCACCGAAGCUGCGGCAGCGACGUUUAUGCGUUGUUGGGUAGGGGAGCGUUCUGUAAGCCUGCGAAGGUGGCCUGUGAGGGUUGCUGGAGGUAUCAGAAGUGCGAAUGCUGACAUAAGUAACGAUAAAGCGGGUGAAAAGCCCGCUCGCCGGAAGACCAAGGGUUCCUGUCCAACGUUAAUCGGGGCAGGGUGAGUC
This 830-nucleotide ribosomal RNA is filed under the name Salmonella enterica subsp. enterica serovar Bovismorbificans. Its description in RNAcentral is "partial 23S ribosomal RNA". It matches the Rfam family "Bacterial large subunit ribosomal RNA", at positions 556 to 1385 of the family's 2925-position model. The record is from RNAcentral. Lineage: Bacteria; Pseudomonadati; Pseudomonadota; Gammaproteobacteria; Enterobacterales; Enterobacteriaceae.